UACGGAGGGUCCAAGCGUUAUCCGGAAUCAUUGGGUUUAAAGGGUCCGCAGGCGGACUAGUAAGUCAGUGGUGAAAUCUCUCAGCUUAACUGGGAAACUGCCAUUGAUACUGUUAGUCUUGAAUUCGGUCGAAGUGGGCGGAAUGUGUCAUGUAGCGGUGAAAUGCAUAGAUAUGACACAGAACACCGAUAGCGAAGGCA
RNAcentral lists this ribosomal RNA (200 nucleotides) under uncultured bacterium. RNAcentral's name for it is "partial 16S ribosomal RNA". It matches the Rfam family "Bacterial small subunit ribosomal RNA", at positions 524 to 723 of the family's 1533-position model. The record is from RNAcentral.